UACGUAGGGGGCGAGCGUUGUCCGGAUUUAUUGGGCGUAAAGAGCUCGUAGGCGGUUCGGCAAGUCGACGGUGAAAUCUCCACGCUCAACGUGGAGGGGUCCGUCGAUACUGCUGUGACUCGAGUCCGGUAGGGGAGUGUGGAAUUCCCGGUGUAGCGGUGAAAUGCGCAGAUAUCGGGAGGAACACCAGCGGCGAAGGCGGCACUCUGGGCUGGUACUGACGCUGAGGAGCGAAAGCGUGGGUAGCAAACAGG
Molecule: ribosomal RNA, 254 nt
Filed under: uncultured bacterium
Lineage: Bacteria
Description: partial 16S ribosomal RNA
Rfam family: Bacterial small subunit ribosomal RNA
Source: RNAcentral